ACCAAAAAGACCGAAGUGAGAGAGAGAGAGAGUUGUGAAGUUGGUGAAGAACUCUGAACAACCAACUUCCCAAACCUCAAUAAUAAAAGAGACCCUUUUUAUGCUUUUCAGCUUCUUCUGAAACCAUUGAAAAAAUCAAUUCAGGUUUUGCAACAACAACAACAACAAGAAUAGUUCAAGUACUGCUAGAGGAUGGGAACGAACGAAUGGCACAUCGAAAGAAGAUCUAGCUUUGAAACUGAGUCGACUUCCAUCGACGUUUUCUAUCCCAAAUGACCCCUCAGAACAGUAUUGAUGAAGAUAUAUAAGAGAUCAAUUGAGAAUGUUGCUGGUUUUGGAUCUGAAAAAGCAUGUAGGAAGCUAUUUGGACUCUGAUGUUAAACAUCACAAGUCAACCGGUUUACUCAUGCACCAACAAUCAUAAUUUUGAGCUGAUUCUUUGUAUAAUGGGGUCUUCUCUUCUAUAGUGGUUCAAUGACAUUAUGUUCAAAAGCAGGAUCAUCAUCUCUACGAACUUCACCAUUUCAAUUGUUACAUAUGCUCCUGAACAGUUAUUAGGCAGCAGUCUUGGCAGCAGCCCCGAUGAUAAUAGUUCCGAUGGGAUCAAACUAGAUGAAAAUGAAGUAUGGCAGUUCCGGUUUGCUUAUGGCAAUACAUGGCAGGGAAUGGUACUUGCAAUAUGUCCUUAUCUUGAUCGUUACUUUCUGGCAUCAGCUGACAAUACUUUUUAUGUGUGUGAUUUUCCAAAUGACAAUCCCCAAAGAGUGAGAAAGUUUGCGCAGGGAAGGACACGUUUCUUGGUAACUGUACAUUUCACUAGAAUCACUGUUGGUGAUUGUCGUGAUGGUGUCAUUUUCUAUUUCUACCACGAGGAUACAAAAAGAUUGGAGCAACUUUACUCUGACCCAUUGCUGAGGUUAGUUGCUGAUUGCAUUCUUAUGGAUGCUGAAAUGGCUGUCGGCUGUCGUUUCGGACCGUAAAGGAAGCAUUGCUAUUUUAUGUUCAAUCAUUUGGAAGGUUAGUCUUCUGUUAAACCAGCUUCUCCUUAAUGAAUUUCUAAUCUAGGUUCAGGUUGAAAGAAAAUUAUCGACGAGAAAAAAGUGAUUAGUUGAUUUUGAAUUAGUGUGGGUUGGUCUCAAAUUUAUCUUUUUUUGGGUGUAGGUUUUAUCUUGUUUUUCAGCUCUCUUGAAGUUUCAGCUGAACUCUUCUGCAUGAUUGAUAAAAAUUUGUAGCUUUUAUUUUAUUUUUAUCUGGGUCAAUCUUGAUAAAUUUGGUUUAAGUAAAUUUUCUAGAAAAAACAUUCUGCUUUAUUUGUAAAUUGGCUUCUUGAAACUUAACUUAUUACUCUAAAGAUUUUGUGUCUAUUGCAGAAUAAUAAUAUUUGUUUUUUAGUAUCUAUUAAUUGAAAAAAGGAGUUUAUAUGUUUAUGAAUUUUUUUUUACUUAUAUUUGAUGGGCUGGUGUGGUUUGAGUAACAUGUAUGCAAUACACUUGAGUUUUGGUGGACUUUAACUCAUUCCAAGUAUUGAUUUAUAAUAUUGAAUAAGAUGUAUAGCUUAUAAUCAAUUUUAUAUUUUUUUAAAUAGAUAGUCACAUGGUUUGGUAACAUGAGGUCUAUAUAUUCUCCUCCCAUUCUCCAUUCUUUCGACUCCACUUCUCCUCUCUAGCGCUCUUUAAUUUGUCAAAGCUUUGGAAGAUAUGGGUUAAGUAGCUCUCUCGAAUGGGCAGAGCCAUUCUCGGAAUGGUUAUAGGAAGAGCUGUUGGUAUAAAGAAAAGAUUGAAGACAACUUAAGAUGGUGUUUUGCUCUUAAUAGAUAGCUAAAACAGGUUUUUUACGCACUAUUUUCCUACAUUGAGUCUUGUUGCAUAUAGAGGCGUUUUUUGGCACAAGAGAGUAUUGGCAAAAUGAUAAAGAAUCAAGAAUUAUGUUCCGCGCAUAUAAAAGACGGUUCUGCUGUGCAAAGAAUUGGAAAGAACAAUUCUAAUGAAACUACUGUCAAGAAGAGAUCAAUAACAAAGAAAGAGGGUAUGCUAAUUUUUUUCUAGUUUAAUAUUAGAUUGAUGUUACAUGUGUUCUUGAUUUUGUCGAUAUAAUCUAAUUGGUUGAUAAGUUUGUUACAUUCAAAGUUUACUGAUUUUAAGAAUUAAUUUUCAUUUUACAAUAUUUUGUAUAACCUUAUCUUACGUUUUUCAUUGUUAUCAUGUUUAAUUUUCUUAUAUUUUUUUCUAUAAAUUAACAUUGAAAUAUAUAAAUAUGUUACUGGACAUCACAGCAAGAGGUUGACAAAAUAUGAUGUGAAAGCUGAUCGAUCUGUAAGUUUGUAUAAUAUUGUUUCAUACUUAUUGGUUACUUUAUUUUUUAUGGACUAUUUUUAACCUUUUUUUUACACAGUAUAUUUUCUAUGAGUUUGCUAGGUUGUUACUUAACAGUGGAGGAUCGGAACAUUGGAAGUUUAUUGUUAAGGAUUCAGAGAUUACUAAAACUUUUGCAAUGCAUGUCUUGAAAAGUAAAGGUAGGAAACGAGAGUACAAAAUUGGUCCUAAAUAGAAAGAUUUUGUGAGAAUACAUAAACUUAGAACUGGAUAUUUAGGAGGGUUUCGAAAGAAGAUGAUCUAAUUCAGGUUUAUGUGAUUAGAAAGUAAUUAUUCAGCUGCUUGAAAACUUUCUUGUGUUAGGUUUGAGAUGUGUAUUCUAUUUUGGAUCUUAGGUGUUUCUGAUCUAAAAUUCAAAGUAUGUAUGAGAUGUGAACUUUUUGGUUAACUUAUGUACUUUUUUAUAUCAG
RNA transcript from Arachis duranensis, 2782 nucleotides. It is a transcript of the gene named thermospermine synthase ACAULIS5, with no coding region annotated. NCBI's taxonomy places the organism in Eukaryota, Viridiplantae, Streptophyta, Magnoliopsida, Fabales, Fabaceae. The record is from RefSeq and is a predicted model, not a curated record. The transcript has 9 exons.